AAACGCCUCAACGGGGAAAGUGACUUUUCUGUGGAGGAUACAUUUGGUGACUGCAAUGAUGGCAGCCUUGAGAGUCUCCAGGCUCGUAAAGUUGCAUUGUUGGUCUCAAAGUCAAUCGUCAGCCUGUCUUCUUUUGCAGGUGGAAAGAGGAUCCGGGUUUGCUCAGGAUUUGUGAUGCGCAGAAAAGACGAUACCGAUGCAAAUAUGGUUUUAACCUCAGCAACACUUGUUAGAUCUCUGAAUGGAGAUAACAAUGUGAUCUCUGACGUGACGGUCAAGGUGCUUCUACCUGAUUGGCGUAUAACCGAUGGCCAUAUCCUUCUUGUGGAUUUUCACUAUAAUGUAGCUGUUGUCAAAGUUGCAACUGAUUUACCACUCUUAGAAGAAGGCACUACCAACAAUGGAGUUGUAUUAGCACUUGGACGUGCAUAUGAAGGUGGUUAUAUCAUGUGUUCACGGGGUCAAGCUUUAAACAAAAAAAGCACUUUUGGGUGUUUGGAGCUAUUUGUGUCAAGCUGCGA
This is a long non-coding RNA of Triticum aestivum (bread wheat), 521 nucleotides long. RefSeq lists it as uncharacterized. NCBI's taxonomy places the organism in Eukaryota, Viridiplantae, Streptophyta, Magnoliopsida, Poales, Poaceae. The transcript is spliced from 3 exons. The record is from RefSeq and is a predicted model, not a curated record.